GAUGAACGCUGGCGGCGUGCCUAACACAUGCAAGUCGAGCGGACAGACGAGGAUCUUGCUCCUCUGACGUUAACGGCGGGAGUGUGAGUAACACGAGGUUCCCUUACCUUUGGGACUAGUAUAAGUACGGGAAACCGAAGCCAAUACCGGAUCAUAUAUUGAACCGCGUGGUUCGAUAGUGACGGCGGUUUUUGAUGUCCCUUAGACGUAUUAGCUAGUUGGUAGGGUAACGGCUUACCAAGGCGGCGACCCGUAGCCGACCUGAGUGGGCGACCGGCCACACUGGAGCUGAGCCACGGUCCAGACUCCUACGGGAGGCAGCAGUAGGGAAUCUUGGGCAAUGGGCGGAAGCCUGACGGAGCAACGCCGCGUGAGUGAAGAAGGUCUUCGGAUCGUAAAACUCUGUUAGUGGGGAAGAACGAAUGUGUAAGUAACUAUGCACGUCUUGACGGUACCUAAACAAAAAGCCACGGCUAACUACGUG
This 484-nucleotide ribosomal RNA is filed under the name uncultured bacterium. Its description in RNAcentral is "partial 16S ribosomal RNA". It matches the Rfam family "Bacterial small subunit ribosomal RNA", at positions 28 to 507 of the family's 1533-position model. The record is from RNAcentral.